Molecule: non-coding RNA, 29 nt
Filed under: Cricetulus griseus (Chinese hamster)
Lineage: Eukaryota; Metazoa; Chordata; Mammalia; Rodentia; Cricetidae
Source: RNAcentral
CAUCUCUGAGCUGCUUCCAGGGAAAUAGC